CACCCCCGUCUAACAGUUACCUUCCUCCGUCAGCAUCGGGUCGUUCAGGCGGCGGAUACCCUCAGGGACCCCAGGGGCAUGGGGGAUCUGGUUUCGGAUCAGGGUCGCAAAUAUUCGCAGCUAGGAGUUCGGGGGGACAUGGAAAAAACAAUGGUUUUGCUAGGAGCGGUCAAUUUGGGCACGGCGACCACGGUGGCUCUGAAGGAUACGACCAA
This is a long non-coding RNA of Hyposmocoma kahamanoa, 215 nucleotides long. RefSeq lists it as uncharacterized. The transcript has 3 exons. Lineage: Eukaryota; Metazoa; Arthropoda; Insecta; Lepidoptera; Cosmopterigidae. The record is from RefSeq and is a predicted model, not a curated record.